Molecule: ribosomal RNA, 810 nt
Filed under: uncultured bacterium
Lineage: Bacteria
Description: bacterial SSU rRNA
Rfam family: Bacterial small subunit ribosomal RNA
Source: RNAcentral
AGAGUUUGAUCAUGGCUCAGAGCGAACGUUAGCGGCGCGCCUAACACAUGCAAGUCGCACGAGAAAGGGCUUCGGCCCCAGUAAAGUGGCGCACGGGUGCGUAACACGUAGGCAAUCUUCCCUUGAGCGGGGGAUAACGUUUCGAAAGAGACGCUAAUACCGCAUAAGACCACGUCCUGUUCGCAGGAUGCGGUCAAAGCUGGCCUCUUCUUGAAAGCUAGCACUUAAGGACGAGCCUGCGGCCCAUCAGCUAGUUGGUAGUGUAAUGGACUACCAAGGCGAAGACGGGUAGCUGGUCUGAGAGGAUGAUCAGCCACACUGGCACUGAAACACGGGCCAGACUCCUACGGGAGGCAGCAGUGGGGAAUAUUGGACAAUGGGCGAAAGCCUGAUCCAGCGACGCCGCGUGAGUGAUGAAGGCCUUCGGGUUGUAAAGCUCUGUUGAGGGAGAAGAAAACGGCUGGCGUGAAUAACUCCAGUCCUUGACGGUAUCCCUUUAGAAAGCACCGGCUAACUCUGUGCCAGCAGCCGCGGUAAGACAGAGGGUGCAAACGUUGCUCGGAAUUACUGGGCGUAAAGCGCGUGUAGGCGGGCCCACAAGUCGGACGUGAAAUCCCUGAGCUCAACUCAGGAACUGCAUCCGAAACUGUGGGCCUGGAGUGGUGGAGAGGGAAGCAGAAUUCCUGGUGUAGAGGUGAAAUUCGUAGAUAUCAGGAGGAACACCGGUGGCGAAGGCGGCUUCCUGGACACUUACUGACGCUGAGACGCGAAAGCGUGGGGAGCAAACAGGAUUAGAUACCCUAGUAGUCC